This 744-nucleotide ribosomal RNA is filed under the name Paratelmatobius cf. segallai MTS-2020. Its description in RNAcentral is "partial 12S ribosomal RNA". It matches the Rfam family "Bacterial small subunit ribosomal RNA", at positions 283 to 1413 of the family's 1533-position model. The record is from RNAcentral. Lineage: Eukaryota; Metazoa; Chordata; Amphibia; Anura; Leptodactylidae.
GUAUCAGGCACAAAAAUAUGCCCAAAACACCUAGCUACGCCACACCCUCAAGGGAGUUCAGCAGUGAUAAACAUUGAACAUAAACGACAGUUUGAUUCAGUUAAAGUAAAUAGAGCCGGCAAAUCUGGUGCCAGCCGCCGCGGUUACACCACGUGACUCAAAUUGAUAUUCCAUCGGCGUAAAGCGUGAUUAAAGCCACCCACAUAAUUCGGAUUAAGCCCACACUAAGCCGUGACACGCUUGUGUACAGAAAAAUCAUAAACGAAAGUUAUCCUAAUUUCUAACUUGAAUUCACGACAGCUAGGAAACAAACUGGGAUUAGAUACCCCACUAUGCCUAGCCGUAAACUUUUAAUUACCCCCCCCCCAUCGCCCGGGAACUACGAGCCAAGCUUAAAACCCAAAGGACUUGACGGUACCCCAUAUCCAUCUAGAGGAGCCUGUCCUAUAAUCGAUAACCCCCGCUUAACCCCACCAUUUUUAGUUAAUCAGCCUGUAUACCUCCGUCGUCAGCUUACCACGUGAGCGACAUAAAGUGAGCUUAAUGUCCACUCGCCAUUACGUCAGGUCAAGGUGCAGCAAAUAAAAUGGAAAGAGAUGUGCUACACUUUCUAACAUAGAAAACACGAAAGAUUACCUAUGAAACCUAGUCAGAAGGCGGAUUUAGUAGUAAAAAAAGAUCAGAAAACUCUUUUUAACUUGGCACUGGGGUGUGUACACACCGCCCGUCACCCUCUUCAAAGCU